RNAcentral lists this transfer RNA (72 nucleotides) under Phrynosoma platyrhinos (Desert horned lizard). RNAcentral's name for it is "tRNA-OTHER". The record is from RNAcentral. Lineage: Eukaryota; Metazoa; Chordata; Lepidosauria; Squamata; Phrynosomatidae.
GAUUGGAUGGUUUAGUGGUUUGAGUGUUGGACUACGAUUCCCAAGACCAGGGUUUGAUUCCCAGCUUGACUG